RNAcentral lists this ribosomal RNA (497 nucleotides) under uncultured bacterium. RNAcentral's name for it is "partial 16S ribosomal RNA". It matches the Rfam family "Bacterial small subunit ribosomal RNA", at positions 28 to 507 of the family's 1533-position model. The record is from RNAcentral.
GAUGAACGCUGGCGGCGUGCCUAAUACAUGCAAGUCGAGCGAACAGAUAAGGAGCUUGCUCCUUUGACGUUAGCGGCGGACGGGUGAGUAACACGUGGGUAACCUACCUAUAAGACUGGAAUAACUCCGGGAAACCGGGGCUAAUGCCGGAUAACAUUUAGAACCGCAUGGUUCUAAAGUGAAAGAUGGUUUUGCUAUCACUUAUAGAUGGACCCGCGCCGUAUUAGCUAGUUGGUAAGGUAACGGCUUACCAAGGCAACGAUACGUAGCCGACCUGAGAGGGUGAUCGGCCACACUGGAACUGAGACACGGUCCAGACUCCUACGGGAGGCAGCAGUAGGGAAUCUUCCGCAAUGGGCGAAAGCCUGACGGAGCAACGCCGCUUGAGUGAUGAAGGUCUUCGGAUCGUAAAACUCUGUUAUUAGGGAAGAACAAAUGUGUAAGUAACUGUGCACGUCUUGACGGUACCUAAUCAGAAAGCCACGGCUAACUACGUG